CAUGGGCAACCUGUUCGGUCGCAAGAAGCAGAGCCGGGUCACUGAACAGGACAGGGCCAUCCUGCAACUGAAGCAGCAGAGAGACAAGCUGAGGCAGUACCAGAAGAGGGUCACGCAGCAGCUGGAGAGGGAACGGGCUUUGGCCAGGCAGCUGCUUCGGGAUGGCAGGAAAGAACGGGCCAAGCUGCUACUCAAGAAGAAGAGGUACCGGGAGCAACUGCUCGAUAGGACAGAAAACCAGAUCAGCAGCCUGGAAGCCAUGGUAGGUAGUGGCCAGGAACCUUUGUUGGGAACCCGAGUGCUUGGGGAAUGGAGUUGGGGGCGGGCCACCCCAGGGUGAAAAGCAGGGAACAGGUCAGGCUGGUGAGGGUUGAACGUCUCCCAGUGCUGAGGUAGGAGCUUCCUGGUUUGCCCUUGCCGACUGGAGCCACUGAAAGUCAGUCAGCACCCUUUGAAUGUCCUCCGGCAUGUUUUCAGUAAAUCUCAGCCGCCACCGCAGGGACCAGGAAGGGUAGGACCUUCCUUCCAGUGACAGAAGCCUGUCACUCAGCUGGUCCAGAGCCAAGCAGGGCUUCUGACCCCUGGCUGCUGCUUUCAGGUUCAGAGCAUUGAGUUCACGCAGAUCGAGAUGAAGGUGAUGGAGGGGCUUCAGGUGGGGAACGAAUGUCUGAAUAAGAUGCACCAGGUAGGUCCUCAUGGGGCCGGGCGGGCAGGCGGGCGGGCAGGCGGGCGG
Molecule: long non-coding RNA, 733 nt
Filed under: Rattus norvegicus (Norway rat)
Lineage: Eukaryota; Metazoa; Chordata; Mammalia; Rodentia; Muridae
Description: long non-coding RNA NONRATT005129
Source: RNAcentral